Molecule: long non-coding RNA, 555 nt
Organism: Mytilus californianus (California mussel)
Lineage: Eukaryota; Metazoa; Mollusca; Bivalvia; Mytilida; Mytilidae
Exons: 3
Source: RefSeq, a predicted model, not a curated record
CAAGAACCAAGUACAACACCUUAUAGUACCACAAUUCUCGCUACUAAUUAUUCAGCUAAAACUGCUAGCGAAGAUAAGGGGAAGACAGGAGUUAUCGCUGGUGUAACUGCAUCCAUAAGUCUUUUGUCUUUGUUAUUGCUAUUUCUCAUAUUACGACGAAAAUGUUCAAGAAAAAGAAAAAUAGAAUCUCCGCCAAACGACAUUAUAAUUGGACAAGCACCUCGAAAAACAACAUUCAUCAAAUGAUGCAUCAUGUCCCAGGAGAAAAAAUCAUUCUCAAUAGAAAUAAAAAUAUUACAUUACUUUAUUAGAAAAAAUCCACUAAUUAAGACGACUUUGUCUUUUGUAGAAUUGUAUUUUGCAGUAGUUUGUGAGAGCAAUACACAAUGCAUAGAUAGAAAAUGGGAAAAUAACAAAUAUCAGUUUAUUAGAAGUAUAUUUUUUUAUCGGAACACCAAAAACACAUAAUAAAAUUUCAAAAGUCGCUGAAAUGUUGCAGUGAUGGAGUGGGGCUGUAUAAUCGUUUUGUAAUAACAAUUCAUGAUUACUAUUGUA